UAUGUGAUCGUCUCUCGCAUAUCAAUAAGCGGAGGAAAAGAAACUAACAAGGAUUCCCCUAGUAACGGCGAGUGAAGCGGGAAGAGCUCAAAUUUGAAAUCUUAAAGGGUUUCCCUUUACGAAUUGUAGUUUAAAGAAGUGUUUUCUGUUGAGGUUUUGGUAAAAGUUCUUUGGAAUAGGACAUCAUAGAGGGUGAGAAUCCCGUAUUUGACCUUUACUUUCAACUUUGUGAUACACCUUCAAAGAGUCGGAUUGUUUGGGAAUGCAGUCCAAAAUGGGUGGUAAAUUUCAUCUAAAGCUAAAUAUUGGCGAGAGACCGAUAGCGAACAAGUACCGUGAGGGAAAGAUGAAAAGAACUUUGAAAAGAGAGUUAAACAGUACGUGAAAUUGUCAAAAGGGAAGUGUUUGACACCAGUGUUGUUUUUCUGAAAAUCAAUUAAAGAACUGUUUAUGCUAAGUUGUUUAGACUUUAUCAGCUAACUGUUUAGUUUUGAGCUUUUCUUUAAUGCACUUUUCAGUUAACAAGUCAACAUCAAUUUCUUUUGCUGUAAAAAAGCUUGAGGAAGGUGGCUUGAGAUUCGUCUUAAGUGUUUAUAGCCUCUUGCCUAUGCAGUCGGAGAGAUUGAGGUCUGCAGCGUAGAUCCUUCGGGGCUAAAUGCAUUUGUGCUAAGUUAUAGCAUUUUAUAGACAACUUGUUGACUAUGAUUUGUCUUGUAGCUUACUCGCUUAUGUUAUUUUACCUACGCUUAGGAUGUUGAAGUCAUCGUAUCGCGC
RNAcentral lists this ribosomal RNA (774 nucleotides) under uncultured Neocallimastigales. Its description in RNAcentral is "partial large subunit ribosomal RNA". It matches the Rfam family "Eukaryotic large subunit ribosomal RNA", at positions 24 to 645 of the family's 3401-position model. The record is from RNAcentral. Lineage: Eukaryota; Fungi; Neocallimastigomycota; Neocallimastigomycetes; Neocallimastigales.